GAUCAUGGCUCAGAUUGAACGCUGGCGGCAGGCCUAACACAUGCAAGUCGAACGGUAACAGGAGAAGCUUGCUUCUUUGCUGACGAGUGGCGGACGGGUGAGUAAUGUCUGGGAAACUGCCUGAUGAGGGGGAUAACUACUGGAAACGGUAGCUAAUACCGCAUAACGUCGCAAGACCAAAGAGGGGGACCUUCGGGGCCUCUUGCCAUCGGAUGUGCCCAGAUGGGAUUAGCUAGUAGGUGGGGUAACGGCUCACCUAGGCGACGAUCCCUAGCUGGUCUGAGAGGAUGACCAGCCACACUGGAACUGAGACACGGUCCAGACUCCUACGGGAGGCAGCAGUGGGGAAUAUUGCACAAUGGGCGCAAGCCUGAUGCAGCCAUGCCGCGUGUAUGAAGAAGGCCUUCGGGUUGUAAAGUACUUUCAGCGGGGAGGAAGGGAGUAAAGUUAAUACCUUUGCUCAUUGACGUUACCCGCAGAAGAAGCACCGGCUAACUCCGUG
Molecule: ribosomal RNA, 502 nt
Filed under: uncultured bacterium
Lineage: Bacteria
Description: bacterial SSU rRNA
Rfam family: Bacterial small subunit ribosomal RNA
Source: RNAcentral